This 234-nucleotide ribosomal RNA is filed under the name Triticum aestivum (bread wheat). RNAcentral's name for it is "partial small subunit ribosomal RNA". The record is from RNAcentral. Lineage: Eukaryota; Viridiplantae; Streptophyta; Magnoliopsida; Poales; Poaceae.
AUGCAGAUCUUCGUGAAGACCCUCACCGGCAAGACUAUCACCCUUGAGGUGGAGUCCUCUGACACCAUUGACAAUGUUAAGGCAAAGAUCCAGGACAAGGAGGGCAUCCCGCCAGACCAGCAGCGCCUGAUCUUCGCUGGCAAGCAGCUCGAGGACGGCCGCACGCUCACCGAUUACAACAUUCAGAAGGAGUCCACUCUGCACUUGGUGCUCCGCCUCCGUGGUGGCCAGUGA